RNAcentral lists this non-coding RNA (109 nucleotides) under Bacillus coahuilensis. Its description in RNAcentral is "SAM-I sequence". It matches the Rfam family "SAM riboswitch aptamer (S box leader)". Rfam says of the family: The SAM riboswitch is found upstream of a number of genes which code for proteins involved in methionine or cysteine biosynthesis in Gram-positive bacteria. The SAM riboswitch acts at the level of transcription termination control. Lineage: Bacteria; Bacillati; Bacillota; Bacilli; Caryophanales; Bacillaceae. The record is from RNAcentral. RNAcentral also lists the same sequence under 1 other name.
CUCUUAUUACGAGAGGUGGAGGGAAGUGCCCUGCGAAGCCCGGCAACCGUCAAUCUAAGAUUGAAAUGGUGCCAAUUCACUCAAAGCUAUAUGCUUUGAAAGAUGAGAG